This is a long non-coding RNA of Brassica rapa (field mustard), 8496 nucleotides long. RefSeq lists it as uncharacterized. The record is from RefSeq and is a predicted model, not a curated record. NCBI's taxonomy places the organism in Eukaryota, Viridiplantae, Streptophyta, Magnoliopsida, Brassicales, Brassicaceae.
CUGAUCGUGAACCCAGAGAAUUUUGGCUAGACAUGGAAACAACCAAUAUAGCUACAAGAAAAAACAUUGCUACGUUUUUUGUGAAACCCAUUUUGUUUUUCUUGUUUUAUUAGUAUAUUCAAGAAAAUAAAAUGUUAUGUAAUGUUACAGACUCCAAUAAGUCUUAUUUAUAGAACUUGAAAUCUUUGUAGGAGUACCAUUUUUCUAUUCAAUUCUUGCCAUAAAGAGUUCUUUCAUAUUUGUCAACAAUGUUAUAUUUUGGGUUGACCAUAAAAACAUCUUCAUAGCUAUAGAAUGGAGGAUCUAACAAUGAAUUAAUUAUAAGAAAAAGUAUGAAAAAGAAAGAUAUAAUAUCUCAUUUGAUAUCAUUAAAAUUUCAUGAGAUAUUCUAUCUACAAAUGACAUAUUAUCAUUGGUUUGACUUUUUAUAUAGUAUAUAUAAAGUUAAGCUGUAUUAAAUAUUUAUAAAAAGUUGAUUUUUAAUGGAUUUCCCUUACAAUGAAGUUGUUCAGUACUAGAUGCAAUACAUGGAAACUGAAAGGAACGCAUAUUAUUUACUUCCGAAACAUUUUAAAAUUGUUGGCAAAAAAUAUCAAUUUCUGUAUAAUUAUAUAUAUAUAUUUUUGGUAAAUGCCUCUCUUUGUUUUGUUAACUAUAAUUAGGAUAAAACUAGUUUAAUAAAUAUUAAUAUUUUAUGUAUAUAUAUGACUUAGUGAAAAGUUAUGGUUCGUAUAUAUAUAGUCAAAAAUCAACAAUGGGAAAUAAUAUAUAUGGUCAGAUAUUGUUUCGCUUUGGUUAUAAAUAUGGUCAAAUAUUGUACUCUUACUGGAUUGGAAUAGUUAUAAAUAUGUCUUUUUUAUGUUUAUCAUAUUUGUGUAUAUAUGAUGGGAUAAUGAUUAUGAUAGCCAUCCGCGGCUGAAACGGAUCUUAAUGCCCGAAAGUUGGAUAGGGUGGCCUUUACGUAUAGAUUUGCAAAUUAAUGAAUAUAGUCAAAAUAUAUAUGGUCAAAUAUUUUUUUUGUUUAAAAAUAUGGCCAAAUAUUUUUAUACUGUAUUUAAAAUAAAAAAUUAAUAGCUGUAAAUGGACGCAUUUUUAAAUAAAUAUAUGGCAGUGGAGAAAAUUCGAAAUAAUAUCUAGUCAAAUGUUCUAUAAAUAGAUACAAAAUUGUGGCAUAUACUUUAUUACUUAUUGUCUGAAAUUUUUGCAUGUCAAAUGUCAAAUUGUGGCAUAUACUAUCACCAUACAAAAAUUAGCAGAAACUACAUUAAGUUGUAUUUUUGGUUUAGCUAGGAUUUUUUAAUUAAAAUUUAAUUAAAAUUAUACUGAGCGAGUCAAGUAGUCAACAUGGGUUAUACUAUAAGAAAUAUUAUUUUCCUUGAUUAACCGUUUUCUAUUCGAUUCUUUCCAUAAAGAGUUCUAAUUCGUAUUUGUCGACAAUGUUUAUUUUGGGUUGACCAUAAAGUACUAGAUGCAUCACUGGUAAGGGCAGGGAAGCACGUCAUUAAACAUUAUAACACCAAAUUGUCUUAAAGAAGUUUAAAACAACAACUUCUGAUUUUAACUUGGUCCUAAUAGCUAACAAACUUCUUCUCUUCAAAAACAGCUCCUAUACAAACAACAACUUCUGAUCUAAUAACUUGGUCCUGAUAGCUAACAAACUUUCUUCUCCUCAAAAACAGCCUCUUCCACCCAUUUAAAUAAGUGCUCCUAUACAAUUAACAAUAAGAGAUUGGUGAAGCUUAAGAGAUUCAGACCAAAUUUUGUUAACAUAUCAUCACUUGCAUCGGUUUUGGUCAGAGAAACUUUGCCCCCAUCUCUCUUACUCACGCACCUGAAGAACGGUGGACCAGGAUUUUCUUGCGUCCUAGACAUGUACAUCUUCACAAGCUCACCACAUACACUCUUGCUUGGGAAUUAGGUAUUUGAAAAGUUGAUAAAAAAGAAGAGAAGACACGAGUUUAUGUUUUUAAUGAUAGAGUAAAACGUAUCGUUUCACUAUUUAACAGAAGUUUAAGCAAAAUUAAUGGUUGACUUUGGGAUGUUUAAAAUUUCUGAAUCAACAUAAGUUUAGAAUUAUUUCGAGAAAAUUAUGAAAGUUUGAUGAGAAAAAUAUUUGGCUUGUCUAAAAAAUUGAGGGUUUUUAGCGUAUUUUUGUUAGUUUGGGAUUCAAAUGGCGUUUUUCCCUAUAAACACAUAAAUAAUUAAAAUUAUAUACUAAAUGAUAAAAUCAUUUGUAAAACAUGUAUUGACAAUCCAAACAGUAGGCAAGUCAUCUAGUAAAUAAAACAACUUUGUUUGUAAAAAUUACUAGAUUCUUAUGGAAUUAUUUUACAUAAUUUAUAGUUGUCGAUCUAAAAAUUUAAGGUUAAUAAGUUCACUCUUGUAUAAAUAUAUAUAUAGUAGAAUUUUUGCUCUUUUCCUUAAGCCACACCAGCAAAAAUUGACAACCCAUCAUAUUUUUUAAAAACAUUAUAAAAUCUCUAAUAUCUACUAUUUUCUCACUAACUAGAGUCAAUAUAUUAAUGAAACAUAUAAAAAUAAUAGCCCAUAAUCUAUUAAUUAUUUAUUGGAUAUUAACAUCUUAUUAUCUAUUCUAUUAAAAUAGAAGUCACAACCUCAUUUUAUGUGUGAUUUUUUUUAUGUUAGACCAUCCCUUAGAAAAUUACUUAAAUGAAUGUUUCUAUGCACAUUUGAAUUAUUUUAACUAUUUUUAAAAAAUCAAAUAGAUUCUCAUAUUUUAUCUGAAUUACAUCUGAAUAAAAUCUUUUGAUAUCUUUUUAUUUAUCGUUAAAGAAAACAUUUUAAAAUAUUUAAUUACUUCCGUUUGAAUUUAAAAUAUAAAUGUAUAUUUCGUUUUUACUAAAAUAAACAUUUAAAUAUUUAAUUAAUUUCGUAAUUAUUAAAAUAUAAAAGGUAUAUGUAAUUUUUACUAAAAUAAACCUUUUAAGUAUUGAAUUAAUUUUGUAAUUAUAUUACACACAUGUACAAUUUUGUAUUAAAUUUGUGAUAUUAAUUUAACAUAAUACAUUUCAAUUAAAUUUUUCAUCUCUAACAGUUAGGAUUUGUUAAUUUAGAAUUUUAUACCACACUAAUGAAAAUAUGCUAUCAAUAUGAAUGAUCGGUCUACAAAUGCUAUUUUAAAAAUGCAUUCAGUUUUUGUUAUUAAAUAUAAUGGCCGGUUUAUUUUUAUUUUUUAAUAUUAGAAGGAUAUUGCUGUUUUUUUUACACAAAGAUAAUCAAUCUUAUUUUUAUAUAGUCCAUAUUCAUAUAUUAUUAAUUAAUGUAAUUAUUUUUGUUUCUUUUAUUUUGUGCAAUUUUGAGUGUGCAAUCGGUAUUGUACCAAUUUAUGUCAUUAACAUAAAUAACAAUUGAAUGACUGAAAAAAUACAUUUCAAGUGAAUACUUUUUUUUCAGUGUAGUUAUUAACAAAUGUAAUUGUAGGUUUAAGUGUUAAUUAUAUAACAUGAUGUAUGAUAGAUGAAGAAUUGCAAAUAAAAAUUUAACAUUGUAAAGUUUUGGGGUAGAAAAGUCUAAAUCACCAAUAGACAACAUAAAGAAACCUAAAUAUAGAUAAUAAAAAAACAGGUUUAAAAGGACAAAAACAAUGCAUUAUAAUUUCUGAUUUAAUAAUUUAAAUAAAGCGAACGUUUUAUAAAUUACACAAAUAUAUUCGAUUAACAUAUAUGUAUGACCUAUAAAAUACAAGUAAAAUCGUAAGAAAAUUAAUAUCUAAGUUAUAUUAAACGAACAUAAUUUUUCGUAAAUAUCACGUAAUGUCAGGUUUUAGUUAAUGCUCAUAUGGGAAAUAGUAAAAUUUAUGGUGGGAAUAUUAGGUACGGUUUGGAAGAAUUCCUGGAAGUCUUUUAGAAGAUUUCCUGGAAGUCGUCUAGACCCUAAAUAUAACCUCUAAACUAAAUUAACUAACUAAACAUUUCAUAAAAUCAAAUUAAAUGUAAUAAGUGUUUACUAUCACAGAAAUAAACACAUAUAAGUAAAAUUUUAAUUUUUCAAAAAAAACAUUUAAGCUUUUUAAAAUCUAACCCUAAGAAUACAUAUAAUACUACAACAUAUAUUGUCAAACACUAGACAAAAAAGUAUCAUGAUUCACUACUUUAACUCAUCUAUGUUGAAAACAAUUAAAUUUUAUUACAUCUUAAUUUAUAUCACUUAAAACUUGAAUAAUUACAUAAUUUUAAUUUUUCACUUAUCAAAAUAUUUUUUACAAAAUUAUAUAUUAUUUUUAAGUUCAACUAUACCAGAAGACUUCCCAAGACCUCUUUCAGACGACUUACAGUAUCUCAGAAGACUCAGAAGACAUUCUGGGGCUAUAUUCGUAAAAAUAAGUUCUGUUUUUUUGUUUGGUCACAAGGGGUUGGCUGUACUUUUACAAGUCUUUUAGGUUAGUUUUGCAAUUGAUUCAAGUUUGUGUAUAGUUUUUUUAACGCUGAUCUAUUAUCAUGAUAUUAUAAUUAUGAGAAAGAUUACAUAGACGAUCUGACAACCGAUAAUACAACCUGCCUUAUAAGAAUCUACGUCUAACUGCAUCACUUCAACCGUCCUACGGAGAUCAAGCCUGACUGAGUUUACUUGCACCAAGUUUGAGUAUAGUUUUGCAUUUAAAAUCAAGUUUUGAGUCAUAUUUGGCAAAUACUCCUAUUUUAAUAAGAGAAAUAUCACUAUUAAUUUUAAACAAUGAAUUAAUGGAUUUGAAAAUCCGAACUAAAUCUAGUGUUAUUGGUUUUGUGAUUUUAAAAUCUGUAUUAAAAUCAGGUGUUAUUGGUUUAAUGAUUCAUAAAUUAUGUAUUAAAUCAAGUGUUAUUCAAUCGUACGGAUUUACUAAUAUAUUUGAUUUUAUAAUGAAUUUGAAUGAAUUUGUUUAGAUUUUUUAGUUAAAAAUAUAAAGACUCAAAUCCAAGGGAAAACUUCUGGAUUUGCAUAUUUUACUUGGAUUUAUAAAUACUAUAUGGAUUUCUAAAGCAAUCAAAAUAUAUAAACCAAUAACACCUAAAUUACUGCAUGUAAACUAUAAAAUUGUUGUGUUUGAAUUUCUAAAGCAAUCAAAAUAUAUAAACCAAUAACACCUAAAUUACUGCAUGUAAACUAUAAAAUUGUUGUGUUUGAAUAUAUUAUAUUAAAACAUUAGUAAUAUGAUAAACAUUAAAAGUAUAUAUCAAUAAUCAGGUAAAUCAAAUAUUGGGGGAAAUUUUACUUAUACACUUUUCAUGAUACCACUUUUCACUUAUAUCACCACUCAAAGGACAUUUUCAUAAAUAGCACAUUCAUUAAUUGGUAAAAGACUAAACUAACCUUAUCUUUACUUCAAUCUAUCGUCUCCUUCUUCUCCACCGUCGUGAUCCUUUUUCUCUCUCCUUUCGGAUCCACCGUCUCUCUCUCCGUCGGAUCCACCGUCUCUCUCUCCGUUAGAUCCGCCGUCUCUCUUUCCGAGAUCCAUCGUCUCUCUCCCUGUGGAGAUCGUUCUUCUCUCUCCGUUGAGAUCUGUCGCCAUCUCCGACGAGAUCCAUUGUCGUCUCCGUUGAGUUCCAUCGUCACUCUCUCUCACGCAUCUAGCGAUAAGCAAUUACGAGAAUCACGAUUCAAAACCUCAAAGAUGUUGGCUCCUCUCCACGAUUCACACUGGUAGAUAGCAAUGAAUUUUGCACAUCUUUGAGAUUGCGUCCGAGGAUUGAUGAAGCUGGAACAGAACCACUAGACAAUCUAAAAGUGAUUAUCCAAUCGGUGUCUUGGUCAAUAAUGUGAAGCAUUUUAUAAAAGAUUAUAAAUUUAUUUUUAUAAGGGUUUAUAAAUUAGAAGUUUGUAGAGACUUAUAAAACGUUGUUUAUUCUUUAUUACUUCUUGUGGUUAAUACAAUGUUUGGAUUUCUUGAUGAAUACAAACAUUUGGUGACCCCAACACAUCCUGAUCUUGAUGAUAUGAAUUUUAACAGUGUUGGACAAUUAGUUCAACAAGGACAUAAAAUGAAGAAAAUCUAAUGGGAACAAGGAUUUGUGGAUUUACCUUUUGCAACAUAUGAUAUAGGAAAAUAACACAUGAAAGACGAUAAAAAUGAAGAAAAAAGAAAGCUGAAAAGCAAAUAAGAGUUCAUAAAUCAUUUAUAAAAGUUUAUAAAACAGUUUGCAAAGUUUAUAAGCUAUUUAUAAAGGUUUAUAAAUUAUUUGCAAGAGUAUCUAAACCAUUUAUAAAGGGUUAUAGAACAAUUAAUAAAGUCUAUAAACCAUUUAUAACUGUUUAUAAAAACAUUAUGAAAUUUUAUAAACAAUUUAUAAGGGAUAUGUAUACAAUUUAUAUGGUUUAUAGGUUUAGGAAUCAAUUAGAAAGUCUCUUAAAUAAUUUAUAAGAGUCUAUAAUAAUUUAUAAAGAAUUAUAAAAAUAAUUUAUAAGAGUUUGUAAAAUAAUUUAUAAGGGUUUAUAAGGAUAUAUAAAUAAUUAAUAAUAGUUUAUAAAUCAUUUAUAAAAAUUUAUUUAAAUUUUUUAUGAAUUUUAUAAACCUAUUAUAAAGGCUGAUAAAACAGUUUAUAAAGUAUAUAAACUAUUUAUAAAUGUUUAUUACAAAAUUAUAAGAGUUUAUAAAUAAUUCAUAAGGGGAAUGUAUAUAAUUUAUAUGGUUUAUAUAGGUAUAUACAUGUUUAUAAAUCAAUUGGAGGUCUUUAAAUCAAUUAUAAGAGUCUAUAACCAUUUAGAAAGGCUUAUAAAACAAUUUAUAAAGUAUAUAAACUAUAUAUAAAUGUUUAUUACAAAAAUUAUAAAUGUUUAUAAAUAAUUUAUAAGGUUUAUAUAUGUAUAUACAUGUUUAGAAAUCAAUUGGAAGUCUGUAAAUCAAUUAUAAGAGUCUAUAACCAUUUAAAAAGGCUUGUUAUAAGAGUUAAUAAAAUAAUUUUUAAGGGUUUAUAAAGGUAUGUAAAUUAUUUUCAAGGUUUAUAUAGGUAUAUACAUGUUAAGAAAUCAACCAGAGGUCAUUAAAUCAAUUAUAAGAGUCUAUAACCAUUUAGAAAGUCUUAUUAAACAAUAUAUAAGAGUUAAUAGAAUAAUUUUUAAGGGUUUAUAAAUGUAUGUAAAUAAUUUAUAAGAGUAUAAAACAUUUAUAAAAGCAAUUUAUAUAUAAGUGAACCAGUUAGAGAUGAACAUCUACAUGGACAUUAUUUUUUGCUCCCCUUUGUAGUUCUUUUGGUCAUAUGAGUGAUUGCACAAAAUCUGACAGCAUUCAACCCCAACCUAAUACACUUCAUAUUAAUCUAUGUGUUUAGUUUGUCUUUUGCUUGUUUGAGAGUUCAUUUUAAGACAUAAAUGGUUUAAUUUGUUCAUAUAAGGAUUUGUAAAAAAAAACAUUCGUCUAAAUUAUAAGGACUUGUAAUGGAUUUUUAAGGAAGAGUUUAUAAACGGAUUAUAAAAAGUUAAUGAAGGGUUUAUAAAUCAGUUUAUAACACCUAUAAAACUAAAAUUAGUUUAUAAACAGUUCAUAAAUCAUUUUACAAGGCUUACAAGAAUUUACAAAAUAGAUAAGAUUUAUAAUUUAUUUAUAACGGUUUAUAAAUUAUUUAGCAAAAUAGUUAACAUUUAUAAGAUUUAUAAACCAUUUAUCUUUUAGUCCAUUGAUUUCUUGGUCUUCUUCAAAUACAUGAGAUACGGUUCACAGUUGCUAGAAUCCUUGCUUGAAGAUUUCAGUGAGAUGGUUUUGAAGCAGAGCAAAAUACAACACUUAUAACACAUUUAACAUUAAAAGCCAGUGACAACAUGUGUAAGAUAAGAAGAAAUAUGCUUCUGUAGCUCAACAAAUCCAUGCUCCAUCUCCACUGCUUCUUCAGAUAUUAUACACAAAAUAAGACAUAAAAGACAUGAAUCUCAUAAAGUAGCAAAACAGAAUGCUAGACUACCAAAAUAAUAACAUUUCACCUCAUUUAUUACACAUACUAAACCUUGUUAGUUAAACUAACUAGUAGCUUUGCAUUACCUCAAGAAAGUGAGGUACUUGAUAUGUAUAUCACCGCAUGAUAUAUGGUGUUUUUCACAUCAUUGUAUAGGUGUUUUUGUAUUGAUUCGAGUCCAUAAUCCGAGUCAGUCUAGUCCUUUUUGAUCUUUUACAGGUCUGGAGUUGGUAGAAGAAUGAAGAGAGCAUGCUUGAAGAGAAGCUGUCCUUUUGGAGCAUUUUGCGGAGAACACUCAAGACGAACAGUCCCGAAACUGUUCUCUAGCAGAACAAGCAGACGGAGUGAUCCCGAGGUUGUUCCCGACAAAUAAGGAAGCUUCUAUUUUCGGGAAUUAAGGCCUUGUUGCCCUAAUUUCUUUUCUACCUAUUGGCGCCUCCAUAUAAAGACGCCAUCUAUCCUAUUUUAUUUCUUACGCUAGUUUUUUACAAGAGAACUAUUAGCUUUUGCGAUCUGCAACUUGUAAGGGAGAAGAAUCCAUUCUCUCAUAGAGAAGACCUUCUGAACCCUUGUUUACUACUCUUAUUAUUAUGCAGUUUCAUUCAGGAUCUAUGUC